UGAUAUGGUAUGAUGCUUCAGUUCUGAAUUUCAGUGUGAUUUGAGACUUCUCAACAUACACUUGGGAUAGUUCAGAGUUAUAUAUUUUGGUUUGAUAGAGAUUUCACAAUGGGAAACAGAUGUUCCUCUAAAGUUCUUCCCAUUGACUUCCAGAAAAAGGCCUCAGAAGGUGAGGAGGCAAAGUCACCUAAGGUGGCACCAAGGAAGAAAAGAACUUCUCUGGUGCGGAGACUAAAUUUUAAGAAAAAAUUGCUGCGACACAAUGCUGUCAUUUCAGUAGAACAGCAAAAUGAAGAACUCUGAAGCACUCUUUUGAAGGUAUUGUGGAAAUUUUAAAAAUUGGUUUGUUGUUCACUAUAUGUAGUAUACUGUUCCCAUAUGUAAAAGGAAUAAAGCUGUCAUGCAGCACUUUUUAAUGUGUGAA
This 424-nucleotide long non-coding RNA is filed under the name Mus spicilegus (steppe mouse). RNAcentral's name for it is "lncRNA (ENSMSIG00000008779.1)". Lineage: Eukaryota; Metazoa; Chordata; Mammalia; Rodentia; Muridae. The record is from RNAcentral.